GCCCCGGACGUGCGGCGGCACCGGGAGGCCGGGCCGAGCGGUUCAGUUUCAACUUUGAAUCUCCUGUAGGACUGACUGUAAACUAAUUUCCCAAGAUUUUUGUAUAAGAGAUAGAUGAAAAGGACUGUACUUUCAGGUUUUGCGAGAAUACCUCAAGUUGGACUCGGAAGUAAGAUUUACCACCAACUUUGAA
Long non-coding RNA from Lagenorhynchus albirostris (white-beaked dolphin), 193 nucleotides. RefSeq lists it as uncharacterized. NCBI's taxonomy places the organism in Eukaryota, Metazoa, Chordata, Mammalia, Artiodactyla, Delphinidae. The transcript is spliced from 3 exons. The record is from RefSeq and is a predicted model, not a curated record.